AAGUCGUAACAAGGUUUCCGUAGGUGAACCUGCGGAAGGAUCAUUACUGAAGGCAUAUGGGGUCUUGAGACUGCGUCCUCUUUUGGGCGUGUGCUCGACCCUGAUAUCUCUUAUCCACACACACCUUUGUGCACGAAUUGAGGGAGGGGGCAAUCUCUUCCCUCAACUAUCUUAUUUAAAACCAAGUAUAUGCAUGUCUUUGUAUUACUCUAUGGAGUCUUAUACAACUUUCAACAACGGAUCUCUUGGCUUUC
This 254-nucleotide unclassified non-coding RNA is filed under the name Geastrum sp. RNAcentral's name for it is "partial internal transcribed spacer region". The stretch from base 1 to 46 matches the Rfam family "Eukaryotic small subunit ribosomal RNA", at positions 1786 to 1831 of the family's 1831-position model. The record is from RNAcentral. Lineage: Eukaryota; Fungi; Basidiomycota; Agaricomycetes; Geastrales; Geastraceae.